This 433-nucleotide ribosomal RNA is filed under the name uncultured bacterium. RNAcentral's name for it is "partial 16S ribosomal RNA". It matches the Rfam family "Bacterial small subunit ribosomal RNA", at positions 29 to 507 of the family's 1533-position model. The record is from RNAcentral.
AACGAACGCUGGCGGCAUGCCUAACACAUGCAAGUCGAACGAGACCUUCGGGUCUAGUGGCGCACGGGUGCGUAACGCGUGGGAACCUGCCCUUAGGUUCGGAAUAACUCCCCGAAAGGGGUGCUAAUACCGGAUAAUGUCUUCGGACCAAAGAUUUAUCGCCUUUGGAUGGGCCCGCGUUGGAUUAGCUAGUUGGUAGGGUAAAAGCCUACCAAGGCGACGAUCCAUAGCUGGUCUGAGAGGAUGAUCAGCCACACUGGGACUGAGACACGGCCCAGACUCCUACGGGAGGCAGCAGUGGGGAAUAUUGGACAAUGGGCGCAAGCCUGAUCCAGCAAUGCCGCGUGAGUGAUGAAGGCCUUAGGGUUGUAAAGCUCUUUUACCCGGGAUGAUAAUGACAGUACCGAAAGAAGAAGCUCCGGCUAACUCCGUG